Molecule: ribosomal RNA, 885 nt
Filed under: uncultured bacterium
Lineage: Bacteria
Description: bacterial SSU rRNA
Rfam family: Bacterial small subunit ribosomal RNA
Source: RNAcentral
UCGACGGGACUUGGCCCUUCGGGGACAGUUUAGUGGCGGACGGGUGAGUAACGCGUGAGCAACCUGCCUUUCAGAGGGGGACAACAGUUGGAAACGACUGCUAAUACCGCAUGACGCUUUUAGGAGGCAUCUCCAAAAAGUCAAAGAUUUAUCGCUGAAAGAUGGGCUCGCGUCUGAUUAGAUAGUUGGUGGGGUAACGGCCUACCAAGUCAACGAUCAGUAGCCGGACUGAGAGGUUGAACGGCCACAUUGGGACUGAGAUACGGCCCAGACUCCUACGGGAGGCAGCAGUGGGGAAUAUUGGGCAAUGGGGGAAACCCUGACCCAGCAACGCCGCGUGAAGGAAGAAGGCCUUCGGGUUGUAAACUUCUUUUACCAGGGACGAAGAACGUGACGGUACCUGGAGAAAAAGCCACGGCUAACUACGUGCCAGCAGCCGCGGUAAUACGUAGGUGGCAAGCGUUGUCCGGAUUUACUGGGUGUAAAGGGCGUGUAGGCGGAGCUGCAAGUCAGAUGUGAAAUCCCGGGGCUCAACCCCGGAACUGCAUUUGAAACUGUAGCCCUUGAGUAUCGGAGAGGCAGGCGGAAUUCCUAGUGUAGCGGUGAAAUGCGUAGAUAUUAGGAGGAACACCAGUGGCGAAGGCGGCCUGCUGGACGACAACUGACGCUGAGGCGCGAAAGCGUGGGGAGCAAACAGGAUUAGAUACCCUGGUAGUCCACGCUGUAAACGAUGAAUACUAGGUGUGGGAGGACUGACCCCUUCCGUGCCGCAGUUAACACAAUAAGUAUUCCACCUGGGGAGUACGACCGCAAGGUUGAAACUCAAAGGAAUUGACGGGGGCCCGCACAAGCAGUGGAUUAUGUGGUUUAAUUCGACGCAACGCG